Molecule: long non-coding RNA, 3497 nt
Organism: Papio anubis (olive baboon)
Lineage: Eukaryota; Metazoa; Chordata; Mammalia; Primates; Cercopithecidae
Source: Ensembl
UCUUGGCAAAAAAAAAAAAAAAUUCAAAAAAUUCAAAAUAUAGGAAGAAGAAAGUAAAAAUUAUAAAAAUGCCACUACCCAGAGGAAACUUCUAUUCACAUGUUGGGAAAAAUCUCACUAUGCAUAUAUGUAAAUAUAGGCAUAGGCAUCCAAUCUUUUAUAAAUAGGGUAGCAGUGAGGUUAAAAAUGUAGAUUUUGCAGGCUUACCUAUUUCAUAGGGUAUUAUGAUAAGUAAAUUAAUUAAUAACCAAAGAAUUGUGCCUGGAGCAUAGUAAAUGCUCCAAAAUAUUUACUAUUAUCACUUACAGAUUUGUAAGGGCUAAGGACCCUUACAAAUACUUAUCAUACAGUAGUGUGACAGCUUGAAGAGCUUAGCAGAACUGGUCCCCUGUGAAAUUAGUGAAAAUUAUAAAAAUGCAAUCAUCUAAAAUCUCUGCAAAUUGUCCUAAAAGAAUACAGCAAAUGAAUAAACAUCUAUCUAAGAAAAUCUAUAAAUUCCUAUUUUUAAAAAAACAGUGGGAGUCAGGUGCAUUUGAACCAAGACCACUCCCUCUCUCCUUCCUCCCAGCUCAGCAAGUCAAAGACUCCACUUCAAUCUGGUGCAGCGAAGAGCACAGGGCCUUCUUCCAGGGAGGAGUAGGAUGUCAGCUUUUCUCAUCUUGCCCCCAGCUGCCAGUUGCUGAGGCUAAGUUCCUGCAGUAGAAGGACAAACGAGGAAAGUCAGUGUAACGACAAUGAAGAAACUGCAUGUGUACAGGAAGUGUAGAGAAAGACUUUUCAAAUUCCAACGGGCAAUGGGUGAGGCAAUAAAUAUUAGAUCAAUACAGAAAUGGUAUUAACAGUUAACUUUUGUAUUAUGUUUCACAGCCUACAAAUGCUUUUGCAUACCGUGUUAUUUAACUCAACACAACUCUUUACUUUCACUAAUAAUUUAUUAUCUAUUAGUCAGUGUUAUUCAUGAAAUAGACUGAAUUAAAUACCACUGUUGCCUAUGGCUAAACCUUGAAUAUUUUUAUUUUAAGUUCUUUCUUUCAGAUGGAAGGAUGACAAGAAACUUCUCAAAUGCCUCAUCCACAAAAUCUAAUCUCAUGCAAUGAUAUGGAUUGUUAGUGACACAAAUGGGUGUACAAACAUUAUUUCAAUUGCAGAAAACCUACCCCAAACUGACUUCAACCAACAUGACUCCAAAGAUAUAGAGGCAAAGCUUGGUUUAGGACUUGUAAAAUAUCCCUAAGAUCUUGCUAUGGGCUCCAUAUGCUUUAUAGUGCCUCUAUAUUCAGGCUGCAGUAGGAAGGUCCCAGCAACUGAGUACUGCCACAUCAUGGCAGCACCCAGUCCAUCAAAAUAUAGUCUGCUUUCUGGCUAAUUUAAAAACAAACUCCAGAAUUUCUGUUCUGGAGAACAGAACACUAAUGUUCUGAUGGUAAAAAGUAUGGAGGUUACUGGCAAAAGCAACAAGUAUCUAUUACAUCAAAAUGCUGCACAUAAGAGUGCUUCACACUUUGCUAUUUUGUUCUCUCCAUGACUAGUCUAUUUCUUCUCCAGUCCAUCUUAUCUGCUGACACCAGAUUAAUUUUCGUAGAGGACAGACUUAUUCAUGUCACAUCUUUGUCCAGAAACCUUAAAAGUUCCCUGUGAUUUAUGGAACAAAUGUCAGACUUCUUAGCCUGACAUUUAAUGUCCUUCACAAUCUGGUCAUGCCCAACUCAUCUAACCAUUCUUAUCUCCAGCCUUUGCUUCUGCUGUGUGCUUUACAAAAUGUGUUUUCUUAGCCUCUCUAUUGUCUAAAUUGUACUGACAGUGUAAUAAGUAAAGCAAAUGGCAUGUUUUGUUAUGAAGCUGAAAGUAAUUUUGUCCUCCUUUCAACUCCCAGAAUUGCAAACCUCUGCCACAGUACCCACUACUUUCUACUUGACUCUGUUAUUUCUGGAUCUGCCUACUAGAGUCCAUAUUCCUCACUGAAGAUGGGGUUUAGGUAUUAUACAUCUCUGCUACUUUUUAAAAAACAAAGAACUUUGUACUUAAUAAUAUGCAUUUUGUAAAUAAACUAAUAAAUAUAGAGUAUUCAUAAGAAAUAACUCAUCCUAGAGCCUCUCUAUUUAGGCAGAAUUUUUUUUAUAUUGUAAACAAAGUGUUGUCAAAUCAUUCAUUCAUUUGUUCAGUCUUUCAUUUGUUCAGCCUUUGUUCAUUGCAAACCCUGUGCUAGAUACUGUGCAAAGUUGAUGGAAACACAAAAUUCAAUGGCUUGAUUCUCAUUCUCAAGGAACUGAAAGUGUAGGUGGAAAACAACAAAUGUAAUUACAAUACAAUGGAAUACAAUGAUGUGGGAACACAGAGGAAAAUAUAAAUUAUGUCACAGAAAUUCUUUUAAACUUUUGCAAAAAAGGAAACAUUUGAGGUGUAAAGAAAAAGAAAAAAUAGCAGAUAUUAAUCAAAAAAACAAUUCGUGUUUGGGAAUUUUGAGAGUUUAAUGUAGUGAACGUAGACUGUACUUUGGUUUAGAGGGGAAGAAGACAUUGAAAGGAUUUAUCAAAGCCUGCUUAAGAAAGGCUUUAUAUUUCAUUAAAAAGAGUUUAUAUUUCUUCACGUAGGUAAUUGGGCAAUAGCCAAAAGUUUGAGGCUAAAGAUUGGUAUCAGUUUAUACACUAGAAGGCAAUAUAGAGAAUGGCCUUGGAGACAGGAAAAGAGGGAUCAGAAGACGAUUUGAAGGUGAGUAAAACUUUGAAGAUUCUAGCAUAGAAAACAGGAUAUAUAUUAAUGUCAUUAAUUAAGGGAAUACAAAAAUAUAACAGAUUCUGGGGAUGGGAAAAAUGAUCAUGUUGAAUCUGAGAUUUAUGGAACCUUCAGGUGGAGAUAUCUAAUAGGUGAGAUAAGUUACAAGAAAUAAUGACUGCCUUUUCUAUUCCACCACUGGUUGUGGAAAAAAUGAAAAUGUUUUAAAAGUAAAACAGAAAGUGUAUAGUCUAAUAUACAAUACAAAUUAUUUUUGUACAUUUUCAAGGUAGGGAAAAACAUAAUUUGCCGGUCGGCUCAUGCUACACCAUGAGGAAAGGAAAUUAACAAACUAAUUUGUUAAUGGAAAGGAGAUGAACAAAUAACUAAAUUUAUAACUUUUAAGAGAAGGUUGAUCCAAGUUGUUCAGGAAGGUGACUUCAAGUUUCUAGACUGGAUGAACUCUCAUUUGGUUAGUAAAUCCCUGAAGACUGAUAUUUUGGGAAACAUUUUUCAGUCUUCUCUGUUGGGACUUUAUCAUGUUUUUCUUCACAUUUACUUUCUGGAAUUUUACCCCAAUAACCGUAACUUUCUGUGUACCAAAAAAACUUAGUAGUUUGGUUGUUGGAAAGGUCACAUUAAUGUUAUUUUCAGUAAUUUUGAUGGAAGCCAUCAAAACCACACACACAAAAAAAGAUAAGCUAAAAGUUAAGAAUUAUUUUGGUUUCUCUGAAGGAAUUAUAUUAAUCUUGUAUACUAUGUAAUGAGGAAGUUUUACAUGCAGG